UUUCCAUUUAUACUUUUUUUGGCUUUUGGAAUUCAAUCAAAACAAAGAAUUUGGGGAAGAAAAGAUGUGAAAACAAAACAUUGGCAUUAGAUUCUGGCCAGACGCUGUUGCCAGCUGAAGUUGCUAAACCUGAGGCUUCUCUCUGCUGCGGAGCAUUCGUCAGCAGAGGGAGAUGGUAAAGGGGCUUUCGCAUCCAGUUGAGGUAACAGAAAAGCUGACAGCUCGUGAGGGACUCUUUCCCACCCUGCGAUGGUGCUAUUCAUGCCGUCUCAGUUUCCAUCUUCAGUUGCCCUCUCUCCCAGGUCUCCGACUCAGGGUUUCCCCCACGAGGCCACCAUUGCUCCAGGAACAGAAGUUGGAACUGAAAGCAGUCUUAGAGGCCUCCAGCCAAAUAUUCCUCACCUGGUUCGCUCACUCCCAAAGGGGUCCCCUGUGAAGCCUCUGAAACCUUAUGCAAAAUCCUGUGCUCAAGUAUAUUUUCCAGGGAGAUGGUGGCUGAUCUCUAUCAGAGCUCCAAAGAGGGCCAUGAUGCCUAAAAGUCCCUAUGGGAUUCAGAAAGGAGUGACAUCUCCAAGGAUGCCUGGCUCGUGGUAUCGCUCAGCAUAUUGUUUCUAGAUGCACUUGUGCAUUCAUGAUGAGGAGGAGGAUGGAUCUUGGAGCUGGAGGAAAGAUGCCACAAGGACCCAUUCUGUCCAGCACAAAAGGAGAAGCCUUCCCAGCCUUAAUGUCCAAAGGGAGGCAUAGAGGCUCAGGGAAGCUAAGUGACUUCAAGGAUGCUAAGGCUCCAGUAUUUAUACAGUGAUCAAAUAUCACACUUGUACAAAGCAAUCUCAGGUGGAAAGACCCACUCCUGACCAUGGGGAUGUGGGACUUUCUGGCAUUGCUAACUGCUCGGGGACAGCCAAGAUGGCAAUAGUGGCUCAUGUUCCAGGGCCCCUGUUUCAUUGAGGGUGUUUGGAUUGUGCUCUUGCCCAAGUGUUCAGAUGACUUAAAGAUUAGAAUGUGCAGCCACCGCGCCCAGCUUCUCCAUCAUUUUUAAGGUUGUUUCUCCACUAGAAAGUGGAAACCUGGGAC
Molecule: long non-coding RNA, 1074 nt
Filed under: Homo sapiens (human)
Lineage: Eukaryota; Metazoa; Chordata; Mammalia; Primates; Hominidae
Description: LNC_000864
Source: RNAcentral